UACGUAGGUGGCAAGCGUUGUCCGGAUUUACUGGACGUAAAGAGCGCGCAGGCGGUCGUAUAAGUCGAAUGUGAAAGCCCCCGGCUCAACUGGGGAGGGUCAUUCGAUACUGUUCGACUCGAAGGCAGGAGAGGGAAGUGGAAUUCCGGGUGUAGUGGUGAAAUGCGUAGAUAUCCGGAGGAACACCAGUGGCGAAGGCGACUGGCUGGUCUGCUCUUGACGCUGAGGCGCGAAAGCUAGGGUAGCAAACGGG
This 253-nucleotide ribosomal RNA is filed under the name uncultured bacterium. Its description in RNAcentral is "partial 16S ribosomal RNA". It matches the Rfam family "Bacterial small subunit ribosomal RNA", at positions 524 to 776 of the family's 1533-position model. The record is from RNAcentral.